AGUAGAUUAAAGGUAUGAUUUUAGUUUAACUGUGCCUAGUGCGCACAAACUAAAUUAAAGAGUUCAACUCUCUUAUCUACUU
Molecule: transfer RNA, 82 nt
Filed under: Arthonia quintaria
Lineage: Eukaryota; Fungi; Ascomycota; Arthoniomycetes; Arthoniales; Arthoniaceae
Description: tRNA-Thr
Source: RNAcentral